Non-coding RNA from Xiphophorus maculatus (southern platyfish), 93 nucleotides. The record is from Rfam. Lineage: Eukaryota; Metazoa; Chordata; Actinopteri; Cyprinodontiformes; Poeciliidae.
GCAGGCUGUUGCGUGGUUUAGGUAGUCUCAUGUUGUUGGGCUAUUUAUUUUAUGUUCCCACAACACGAAACUGCCUUGAUUACCUCAGUGAAA